GGAAGUGAGGGCGAUCUUGCUGUGACAUCGUCACUCCAUUGAUCACCAGGGUUGAUUCGGAUCUGACAGGUAAAUGGGUGUCCUGUUCCUCCCUCAUUGCUCCAUGUGCUUCUCUCCCGAAGCUGUGUGUUGAGAGAAGAGAACUGUACUUUGCUCAAGAGUACAGGAGUAGCUGUGCUCCCCUGCUAGAACCUCCAAACAAGCUCUCAAGGGUAGCAAGAACUGCAGAGUGGCUCAAGCAGUAAGAAAGCCUGCCUAGCAAGCAUUCAUGAAACCCU
RNAcentral lists this small nuclear RNA (278 nucleotides) under Castor canadensis (American beaver). RNAcentral's name for it is "7SK RNA (ENSCCNG00000010064.1)". It matches the Rfam family "7SK RNA". Rfam says of the family: 7SK was discovered as an abundant small nuclear RNA in the mid-70s but a possible function has only recently been suggested. Two independent studies have found that 7SK RNA binds the CDK9/cyclin T complex (known as elongation factor P-TEFb). The record is from Rfam by way of RNAcentral. Lineage: Eukaryota; Metazoa; Chordata; Mammalia; Rodentia; Castoridae.